AAGGAAUAUUGCUCAAUGGGAGAAAUCCUGAAGCAGCAACGCCGCGUGGAGGAUGAAGGGUCUAUGACUUGUAAACUCCUGUAAAGAAGGAAAAAAUUCCCAUUAGAUGGGAGAUGAUGGUACUUCUGGAGUAAGCCCCGGCUAACUACGUGCCAGCAGCCGCGGUAAUACGUAGGGGGCAAGCGUUGUCCGGAUUUACUGGGUGUAAAGGGUGCUCAGGCGGAUUUGUAAGUCAGAGGUGAAAUAUUACAGCUUAACUGUGAAACUGCCUUUGAUACUGCAAGCCUAGAGUAUGGAAGAGAGUGAUGGAAUAUCUGGUGUAGCAGUGAAAUGCGUAGAUAUCAGAUAGAACACCAAUGGCGAAGGCAGUCACUUGGUCCAUUACUGACGCUAAAGCACGAAAGCGUGGGUAGCAAACA
Molecule: ribosomal RNA, 419 nt
Filed under: uncultured bacterium
Lineage: Bacteria
Description: bacterial SSU rRNA
Rfam family: Bacterial small subunit ribosomal RNA
Source: RNAcentral